CUCUGCCACCCAAGGCUCAGGCUCCCACAGCUCUGCCUCCCACACCUUUGCCGCCCACCUCAGCCGACAUUCAAGGCCUCAUCGCGAACUUCCUCAAGGAGUACUACGGUCUUUAUGAAACCGCAGACCGCGAGGGUCUGCUCAAGAAGUAUCAUAAGGAUGCCCUCAUCACCAUCUACACCCCCUCAGAGAGCAGCCUGGGAGAGGAGGGUACAGACAAGCCGACCCCGGAAGAUUCACGUGAGUGUUCGUCAUGAGCGAUGUUUGCAGAUCCGCGCGUCACUGUGUCGCC
Lethenteron reissneri (Far Eastern brook lamprey) is the source of this 292-nucleotide long non-coding RNA. RefSeq lists it as uncharacterized. The record is from RefSeq and is a predicted model, not a curated record. Lineage: Eukaryota; Metazoa; Chordata; Hyperoartia; Petromyzontiformes; Petromyzontidae.